This 424-nucleotide ribosomal RNA is filed under the name uncultured bacterium. RNAcentral's name for it is "bacterial SSU rRNA". It matches the Rfam family "Bacterial small subunit ribosomal RNA", at positions 207 to 622 of the family's 1533-position model. The record is from RNAcentral.
CAAGACCUUGCGCUGAAGGAGCGGCCGAUGUCUGAUUAGCUUGUUGGUGAGGUAAAGGCUUACCAAGGCAACGAUCAGUAGUUGGUCUGAGAGGACGGCCAACCACACUGGGACUGAGACACGGCCCAGACUCCUACGGGAGGCAGCAGUGGGGAAUUUUGGACAAUGGGCGAAAGCCUGAUCCAGCCAUGCCGCGUGAGUGAAGAAGGCCUUCGGGUUGUAAAGCUCUUUCAGUCGGAAAGAAAAGAUCAUGACUAAUACUCAUGAUUCAUGACGGUACCGACAGAAGAAGCACCGGCUAACUACGUGCCAGCAGCCGCGGUAAUACGUAGGGUGCGAGCGUUAAUCGGAAUUACUGGGCGUAAAGGGUGCGCAGGCGGUUUUGUAAGUCAGAUGUGAAAUCCCCGGGCUUAACCUGGGAAUU